This 253-nucleotide ribosomal RNA is filed under the name uncultured bacterium. RNAcentral describes it as "partial 16S ribosomal RNA". It matches the Rfam family "Bacterial small subunit ribosomal RNA", at positions 524 to 776 of the family's 1533-position model. The record is from RNAcentral.
UACGUAGGUGGCAAGCGUUGUCCGGAUUUACUGGGCGUAAAGGAUGCGUAGGCGGACAUUUAAGUCAGAUGUGAAAUACCCGAGCUUAACUUGGGUGCUGCAUUUGAAACUGGGUGUCUAGAGUGCAGGAGAGGUAAGUGGAAUUCCUAGUGUAGCGGUGAAAUGCGUAGAGAUUAGGAAGAACACCAGUGGCGAAGGCGCCUUACUGGACUGUAACUGACGCUGAGGCAUGAAAUCGUGGGGAGCAUACAGG